This 435-nucleotide ribosomal RNA is filed under the name Capnocytophaga gingivalis. RNAcentral describes it as "bacterial SSU rRNA". It matches the Rfam family "Bacterial small subunit ribosomal RNA", at positions 28 to 466 of the family's 1533-position model. The record is from RNAcentral. Lineage: Bacteria; Pseudomonadati; Bacteroidota; Flavobacteriia; Flavobacteriales; Flavobacteriaceae.
GAUGAACGCUAGCGGCAGGCCUAACACAUGCAAGUCGAGGGAGAAGCCUUUCGGGGCAGAAACCGGCGCACGGGUGCGUAACGCGUAUGCAACCUACCUUUCACAGGGGGAUAGCCCGAAGAAAUUUGGAUUAAUACCCCAUAAUAUUGUUGGAUGGCAUCAUUUGACAAUUAAAACUGAGGUGGUGGAAGAUGGGCAUGCGUCCUAUUAGCUAGUUGGAGUGGUAACGGCACCCCAAGGCUACGAUAGGUAGGGGUCCUGAGAGGGAGAUCCCCCACACUGGUACUGAGACAGGGACCAGACUCCUACGGGAGGCAGCAGUGAGGAAUAUUGGUCAAUGGUCGGAAGACUGAACCAGCCAUGCCGCGUGCAGGAAGAAUGCCUUAUGGGUUGUAAACUGCUUUUAUAUGGGAAGAAUAAAGGUGUACGUGUACA